UACGGAGGGAGCUAGCGUUGUUCGGAAUUACUGGGCGUAAAGCGCACGUAGGCGGCUUUGUAAGUUAGAGGUGAAAGCCCGGGGCUCAACUCCGGAACUGCCUUUAAGACUGCAUCGCUUGAAUCCGGGAGAGGUGAGUGGAAUUCCGAGUGUAGAGGUGAAAUUCGUAGAUAUUCGGAAGAACACCAGUGGCGAAGGCGGCUCACUGGGCCGAUACUGACGCUGAGGAGCGAAAGCGUGGGGAGCGAACAGG
RNAcentral lists this ribosomal RNA (253 nucleotides) under uncultured bacterium. Its description in RNAcentral is "partial 16S ribosomal RNA". It matches the Rfam family "Bacterial small subunit ribosomal RNA", at positions 524 to 776 of the family's 1533-position model. The record is from RNAcentral.